CUUAAGGGAUGCACCUGGGAACUACCUUAGCUGAGGCACCUAAUAAAGAGACCUCUGAAUGGAGGUGCUUGCCCUAGGAAUGUAGAUAUGUACAAAAAUAUGGCUGGCCCUGGAAGGCAUGAGUCCUUUACUGUAACUCCCUCCGGAGACUGUGAUGCAGUGGCAGCUCCCCCCACAUCACAUCCCAUGAGGCCUGCCUGGUAAAGCCUUGUCAUUGCCUAUGGUCCGGUCUGAAAGUUCACAUGUAGAUUUUAGUUUGGAAGCUGAUUCUCACCUCCCAUUAGAGGCAGGAUUAUUUACCUCUUCUUAGAUUUGGCCAAAUAACUUGCUUUGUUCAACAAGAUAAGUGAAAAAUGAUGAUAGCAGGUAAAGUAAAUGCUUGCUAUUGUAUGCUGCCGAGAUUCUAUGACCCUUGCUUAUAUAGUAACAGUUUGCUGAUACAAUCUCCAUUUUUAAAUUACUCGUUGGAGCUAGGCAAAAGUUACCAAUAGCUGUUAAUAUCACAGAACAAGAGACUUCAUAUGAUGUGCCUCCUCAUAGAAGUAUAUAAUACCACCUAUGAAAUAGCUAUGACAAAAUUCAAGCUUGAAAUGGAUCAUGCCUCUAGUGAUAAUUAAAAAUUUACAGAAAGCAUAUAUAGGUGAUAGAAUGUAUAAAACAAUACUGAAAUCUAAAUUAUGGGAAACUUUGAUGACAAAUGGUCCAGAGGACAAACGGUCCAGUUUGUCCUCAAAGGUGGGGACAGGGGAGAGAGAGGAAGCAAAUAGAUUUUAAAAUACUGAAGGAAAUAUAAAAACCAGUCACCAUGGGCCUGGGAUUUAGCUCAGUGGUUCCACCACCUGCUUCGCAAGUGCUACAUCCCGAGUUCGAUCCCUGGUACCAAAAACAAACAAACAAACAAAACCAGUCACCACAUAGGGCAUUAGAUCCCAAUUAAAACAAAAUGUUUAAAAAUAUGAGACCAUAGGCCGGGGAUUUAGCUCAGUGGUUCCGCUGCCUGCCUUGCAAGCACAAAGUCUCGCUCGAGUUGGAUCCCCAGUACCAAAAAAAAAAAAAAAGAGAGAUAAUAAAGGCUUUUUUAUAUGAACACUGGAUAUUUAGUAUUUUAGGGAAUUAUUGCUAUUUUAGAAAUGAUAAUAGUUUUGUAGUUGCUCUACUUUUUUGCAGCACAACAAAUAGCCCUAGAACUUAGUGGUUUAAAACAGCAGACAUAAAAUUAAAUCUCACAACUUGGUGGACCAGGACAUUGAGCAGGGUUCAGCUCGGUAAUUUUUCUGCUUCAGUGGUACCACUUCAUGGUAUGCACAGAUGGGCAGACAUAGGAGAUCCAUGAUGGCUUUACUUUCAUGUCUGGUGCCUUUGAGAGGAAGACUGGAAGGCUGGGUUCAACUGAGCACUUGCGUGUGACCUGGUCACUGUGGCACUUUCUCGGUUGUCAGAUAUCUUACAUGGAAUCACAGAUUUUCAAAGAACGUGUCCUAAGAGGUCCAGAUGGAAGCUUCAAAGACACUGAAGAACUAACUUUGGAAGUGCCAGAAUGCUGCUUCAGCCUCAUUUUACUAGGCAAGCAACUUGCUAUCGUCAGCUGGGAUUCAAAGUGAGGAGAAUUAGACCACGGAAGAGGCCAUAUGUCAUCUAUCUCAGUGGUUAUCCUUUUAAAAGGAGAUACCUUCUAGAGGUAUGUAUAUCUAUUAAUAAUAACUAAAGUAGUCACAGAUUUAAAAAUAUGUUCUCUGAGAUUUACAUCAAAAUAUUUGAUGGAGGAAAGGGAUAGGGAUCAAUAUAUUCUAUUUUCAUAUAUGUUUGACAUUUUCCAUAAAAAGAAAGUUCCAAAAAAUUAAAGGUUAAAUUGUCUUUUACCUAAAAUCUAUGUAAUGUAAAAGAUGAGACCACCAGAAAUAUAUCUAGUACUAUACAUUAUGUGUAAUAUAUUUUUACUGAUAGCAAAUAUUGUGAGUACCUAAAUAAUUACUAAUAUGGAUAGGUAUUUUGAAACUGAAGGACAAAGUUUCACGUCCUUAAAUUACUAGUGUGCAAAUAUACAUAUAUACAUAUAAUUUUAAUUCACAGACAUCUUAUUCUUGAAAUAUUGGCAGUCAUUUUCAGUGGUCUAUAAAGUACUUUCAGUAUCGAGUACAGUAAAGCCUCAACUGGAUCCUUGGCUAUGUGGUUUAAAAAUAUUUAAAGACUUUUAUUGGUCACAUCCUUCCAGGGAGACAGUCAACUAUUUUUCAGUUAAAAAUUAACAUUCUUUAAUUGCCACAUUUUCCUUGAGGCAUAAUGCAGUGACUGAAUUUUUCCUUUCUGAGAGAUCUGGCGCUUACAAAGUCUCUAAUCAAGCAGAACUAAAAUGAAUAGCUGCAUGAAAACAAAAAUUGCAUAAUAUACACAGCAUUUUCAGUUUCCCUAAGCUCUGUGUAGCCACUCAUUUUCAUAUUCACUAUAUCUCUAUUAUUGAACAAUCUGCAACUCUAAACAAUGUAAUUCUCGUACUCCAUGUGUAAAGAUACAGAGACUAGGCUGCUAACACUUGCAUUAAUAACUAUCUGACCAAAUGUCCAUAUUACUAAGUUGGUAUUGUACCUUAUGUGGCAUUCCAAAUCCACCCAGUACCUGUGUAAUAGCAUUUGAUGCCAAUACUUAUUAUCACACUAGAGUGACUGGGGAUCCCAAGCAGUAGUUGGGGGGAUUCCAGCCCUAUUUGACAAACAUGCAAUGAUUCAAAGGAGAAACAGCAUGAGGAGGAGGCAGAUGGCUUUGGUGUACAUGUACCUACUCUCCUCCUCAUCCCAGCACUACUAGGGCCCUGCAUAGAAGAGUCUUCUUCCUAUAUUCCUUCUAUGUGAUGCUAAAGUAGGAAAAGAAGGGAAUAAAUUAGAACUCAUUUCCACAUAACCUUGAGGAAGCUACUUAUUCUUAGUUUCUUCCUCUAUAGAUUAUAAUCUCUAUCCUAUCUACUACACAGGACUAUUAGGGCCAUCAAUUUUAUGUAAUAGUCUCUGAAACAACUUUGGAAACCUUAUAAUCCUCUAUAAAUAUAUUAUUAGGGGUAGUAUCUUACAUAAAAAUAUGUUUUGGGCAAGAGGUGUAGCUCAGGGCUAGAGUAAAGACUGAGGGGUUCAAUCUUCAGCACAAAAAAAACAAAAACAAAAACAAAAUACUCCCCAAAACAGACAAACAAAAAUCAAGCAAAAAUAAAACUUUUUAAAUUUGUAGUGUAUUCCACCAUUUUCUAAAAUAUAGUCAGAUACCAUCAUUUUUAAAUAGGAAAAAUACUUUGAAUUAUACAGACAUGGAAAUGAUUGCUGGUCAGCUACUCAAUAUGCAUUCUCUCCUUCCAUUACAAUAAAACUAAGAGUUUAUCCACAGUGAUAAUGUGCCCAGUAAAAGGCUAUAUUUCCUGUCCCAUAUUAUAGCUACUCAUGAGUUUAUAAAUAAGUCCAAGAUUCUGAUACCUUAUUUAGGAAUUUGUAGAUAAACAACAAAAGGGUGGUGAAGCCCAACCGACCUCCAAUGCUGCCUGACAAAGUUCCAGCUGGGGGAAAGAAAGGGUGGAACACAUCGUACCCUCAUGUUUUAUUUUUUCUUGCCAUAAUGUUUAUAAUUGUUACUCUGGUCACAGGAGUCACUGUGUUUGUGACUAACAACAAACUCUCCAUGAGGCAAAUUGGCAAUGAUAUAUUGAAAUCUGAUCUGGCUCAAAAGUCCCAAAUUCCAGUUUCUCUUAGUUCUAUUGCCACAUCCACUCCUAAAGAGACCUCUCCUAAAACCCCCUCUGUUUCCCCCACUACUAUGACUCCCCCUCUUAUUGCUGACAUUCUUUUUACUAAAGGGGUCUUAUGAAGAGAUUGAAAGGACAGACUUUAGAUGUAAGAAAUAGUGGAAAAUGGGAAAUAGAACGUUAAGACAGGUAAAGACAUUAAGGAGACAAGUUACUCAAGCUGUAAAUAUCUCCUGCUCAUGGACUAUGAACCUAAAUGACAUUUAGUUAAGAUGAAUAGAGGUAUAGAAAAAUAGAGAGCUAAUAGCAAACUGUAUUAACCACUGUGCAGUUUCUCAAGGGCCAGCUGGUGACCACAAGUUUGACACUUAGUUGAUUAAAUCUUGCUUGUACCCCCGCUGAUAUAAAGAUUUUGAUUAAGUUACUUUCUGUUCUGUUUAGGUAUGGGUAAAUAAGGGGACAGUUGUAAUUUUUAAAUAUGUAUUCAUGAUGUUCAAUGAAAUGAAACAGCUUAGAGGAAUUGUACUUUGUUUAGCAAAAACAUAAACUUUACUUCAAUAGAAAUUGCUAAGGCAAUUUAAAAUGUAAACAUGUUCCGCCCAAUGCCUCCCAGCUAUUGCUUAAAGAUACAAAAAUAAAUCAGACCAUGAGAUUUCUCAGAGGGAACCUGAACAUUGCUUGUGAAGAUUCUUUCUCAUUGCCGGCCCAGGACAUCUCCCCUUCCUUCCUACAUCGACUGCACAUCGACUGCAGCUGGUCUGCGGCAAAAGGACUCAUCACAUAGAGACAAUAAUGGCAAAGCACCAGGAAAUCCCUAGCCAGAAGCAAGAGCCUGAGUCCCCAAAUCACCCCAUGGAAAAAAGUCAUACCCAGCCAGAAACCUCUCAUUUGACAGCUGCAUGAGCAAAAAAUUAUGUUAAGCCACUGUGAUUUUACAUUUUAUUUGUUAGAGCAACAAGAGCUAUUCUAUCAUAGUGACCUAAUCUAAGUAGUAUUCUACCCUAUUGGGUGAAAUGCAAUCACAUAUACACUCAUUAUAUAUACACAGAUACAAAUAAUGUAUAUACACAGAUGCUUUGCUUUUUUAAUGGGACUGUGAAAUCGUACAUCCUUUCUGACAUACAAUUUGACAAUAUAUAUUGAAGCUCUUAUUCAUGCACUUACUUGUGUUUAAUUAUGUGAUUAACUUGACUUAUUCCUAGCAGUUUAACCUGAGUAAACAAUAUGCACUAAGUGCCUAUUUAAAUCCAAUCAUGUUCAAUAUGGCACUUUUUUAUAUGUAAGAUUCAUGAAUUCAUGAAUGAUUAAAAUAUAUUUUGGUACUUUAGACAAUAGAAUCUUUGAAAUAGUUAAAAUAAUAUUACAGAAUAUUGCCACAUGUCAUAGGAAAUGAUAAGGAUAUCUUAUUAAAUUAAGACAGAAAAAUGUAACAGGUAUAAUUUGGCCCAAUUAUUUUUUAAAGUGUAUAUCUUUGUGUCUGUAUGUAUCUUUUUAAUUCUCCAGAAAGACUAAAAGGAAAUACACCAAAACUUACCAAAAAUUAUAUAUAAAUACUAUAAUUAAAAGUGAUUUUAAAAUUCUGUUGAAUGUUCCAAAUUUUCAUCACUGAAUAUACAUUUUUGUUAUAUAAAUUUGGUGUGUAUGUAUAAUAUAUACACACAAUUACAUAUUUAUAUGUAUAUGUAUAUAGUCACAUAUGCACAUUGAAGAGUGAUCCUCCUGUAAAAUAGGCUUUCUUGCAGAGUACAAAAUGAACAUGCCAGGUCCCUGGUGAUUGUAGGGAAAUGUGACAAAGAAGUAGUUCACUGAGAAAUGAAGAGGGAGGAAGGUGUAUCCAGUAGAAGCCAUUCCACUCUAAGUUGAUUCUGAAGAGAACUGCAGAGGGCACUAACAGAACACUAAGUGUUUUUUGAAUUAUAAUUUUUAAAGAUGAGUCCCUAUAGGACUCCCACAGUAAUUCUGGCCUAACAUACACAUAAGUUAUUCCAAUCUUAACCACUAUUUCACAAUACUGCAAAAUCCAUGCCUGCAUCCAACAGACAAAGGUCAUCCUG
Molecule: long non-coding RNA, 5775 nt
Filed under: Heterocephalus glaber (naked mole-rat)
Lineage: Eukaryota; Metazoa; Chordata; Mammalia; Rodentia; Bathyergidae
Description: lncRNA (ENSHGLG00000040883.1)
Source: RNAcentral